GAUGAACGCUGGCGGCGUGCUUAACACAUGCAAGUCGAACGGAAAGGCCCCUGCUUGCUGGGGUACUCGAGUGGCGAACGGGUGAGUAACACGUGGGUGAUCUGCCCUGCACUUCGGGAUAAGUCUGGGAAACUGGGUCUAAUACCGGAUAGGAGGACGGGUUGCAUGCUAUUGGGGAAAGAUUUUGCGGUGUGGGAUGGGCUCGCGGCCUAUCAGCUUGUUGGUGGGGUAGUGGCCUACCAAGGCGUCGACGGGUAGCCGGCCUGAGAGGGUGUACGGCCACAUUGGGACUGAGAUACGGCCCAGACUCCUACGGGAGGCAGCAGUGGGGAAUAUUGCACAAUGGGCGGAAGCCUGAUGCAGCGACGCCGCGUGCGGGAUGACGGCCUUCGGGUUGUAAACUGCUUUCGCCAGGGACGAAGCGCAAGUGACGGUACCUGGAGAAGAAGCACCGGCUAACUACGUG
Molecule: ribosomal RNA, 466 nt
Filed under: uncultured bacterium
Lineage: Bacteria
Description: partial 16S ribosomal RNA
Rfam family: Bacterial small subunit ribosomal RNA
Source: RNAcentral